Molecule: ribosomal RNA, 150 nt
Filed under: Triticum aestivum (bread wheat)
Lineage: Eukaryota; Viridiplantae; Streptophyta; Magnoliopsida; Poales; Poaceae
Description: partial small subunit ribosomal RNA
Source: RNAcentral
AUGCUUGUUGAAACAAAGAAGCAUGUUCUUUAUAAUUUGCUCUACUUACUCAUCAAAUUGAUAUUGGUCUUAUCGGUGGCGACGACGAGUUUUGAAAGAAUAUUUUCAGCAUUAAAUCUAGUGAAAAGUAAUUUGAGGAAGUAUGAGUGA